GGGUUGUGAGGUUAAGCGACUAAGCGUACACGGUGGAUGCCCUGGCAGUCAGAGGCGAUGAAGGACGUGCUAAUCUGCGAAAAGCGUCGGUAAGGUGAUAUGAACCGUUAUAACCGGCGAUGUCCGAAUGGGGAAACCCAGUGCAAUUCGUUGCACUAUCGUUAACUGAAUACAUAGGUUAACGAGGCGAACCGGGGGAACUGAAACAUCUAAGUACCCCGAGGAAAAGAAAUCAACCGAGAUUCCCCCAGUAGCGGCGAGCGAACGGGGAGCAGCCCAGAGUCUGAAUCAGCUUGUGUGUUAGUGGAACGGUCUGGAAAGUCCGACGGUACAGGGUGAUAGUCCCGUACACCAAAAUGCACAGGCUGUGAACUCGAAGAGUAGGGCGGGACACGUGGUAUCCUGUCUGAAUAUGGGGGGACCAUCCUCCAAGGCUAAAUACUCCUGACUGACCGAUAGUGAACCAGUACCGUGAGGGAAAGGCGAAAAGAACCCCGGCGAGGGGAGUGAAAAAGAACCUGAAACCGUGUACGUACAAGCAGUGGGAGCACCUUCGGGUGUGACUGCGUACCUUUUGUAUAAUGGGUCAGCGACUUAUAUUCUGUAGCAAGGUUAACCGUAUAGGGAGCCGCAGGGAAACCGAGUCUUAACUGGGCGUUAAGUUGCAGGGUAUAGACCCGAAACCCGGUGAUCUCAGCCAUGGGCAGGUUGAAGGUUGGGUAACACUAACUGGAGGACCGAACCGACUAAUGUUGAAAAAUUAGCGGAUGACUUGUGGCUGGGGGUGAAAGGCCAAUCAAACCGGGAGAUAGCUGGUUCUCCCCGAAAGCUAUUUAGGUAGCGCCUCGUGAAUUCAUCUUCGGGGGUAGAGCACUGUUUCGGCUAGGGGGUCAUCCCGACUUACCAACCCGAUGCAAACUACGAAUACCGAAGAAUGUUAUCACGGGAGACACACGGCGGGUGCUAACGUCCGUCGUGAAGAGGGAAACAACCCAGACCGCCAGCUAAGGUCCCAAAGUCAUGGUUAAGUGGGAAACGAUGUGGGAAGGCACAGACAGCCGUGAUGUUGGCUUAGAAGCAGCCAUCAUUUAAAGAAAGCGUAAUAGCUCACUGGUCGAGUCGGCCUGCGCGGAAGAUGUAACGGGGCUAAACCAUGCACCGAAGCUGCGGCAGCGACACUAUGUGUUGUUGGGUAGGGGAGCGUUCUGUAAGCCUGCGAAGGUGUGCUGUGAGGCAUGCUGGAGGUAUCAGAAGUGCGAAUGCUGACAUAAGUAACGAUAAAGCGGGUGAAAAGCCCGCUCGCCGGAAGACCAAGGGUUCCUGUCCAACGUUAAUCGGGGCAGGGUGAGUCGACCCCUAAGGCGAGGCCGAAAGGCGUAGUCGAUGGGAAACAGGUUAAUAUUCCUGUACUUGGUGUUACUGCGAAGGGGGGACGGAGAAGGCUAUGUUAGCCGGGCGACGGUUGUCCCGGUUUAAGCAUGUAGGCUGAUUAUCCGUGCAAAUCCGGAUAAUCAAGGCUGAGGUGUGAUGACGAGGCACUACGGUGCUGAAGUAACAAAUGCCCUGCUUCCAGGAAAAGCCUCUAAGCAUCAGGUAACAUCAAAUCGUACCCCAAACCGACACAGGUGGUCAGGUAGAGAAUACCAAGGCGCUUGAGAGAACUCGGGUGAAGGAACUAGGCAAAAUGGUGCCGUAACUUCGGGAGAAGGCACGCUGGUGUGUAGGUGAAGCCCCUGCGGGUGGAGCUGAGACCAGUCGAAGAUACCAGCUGGCUGCAACUGUUUAUUAAAAACACAGCACUGUGCAAACACGAAAGUGGACGUAUACGGUGUGACGCCUGCCCGGUGCCGGAAGGUUAAUUGAUGGGGUUAUCCGUAAGGAGAAGCUCUUGAUCGAAGCCCCGGUAAACGGCGGCCGUAACUAUAACGGUCCUAAGGUAGCGAAAUUCCUUGUCGGGUAAGUUCCGACCUGCACGAAUGGCGUAAUGAUGGCCGGGCUGUCUCCACCCGAGACUCAGUGAAAUUGAACUCGCUGUGAAGAUGCAGUGUACCCGCGGCAAGACGGAAAGACCCCGUGAACCUUUACUAUAGCUUGACACUGAACAUUGAGCCUUGAUGUGUAGGAUAGGUGGGAGGCUUUGAAGCGUGGACGCCAGUCUGCGUGGAGCCAACCUUGAAAUACCACCCUUUAAUGUUUGAUGUUCUAACGUUGGCCCCUGACCGGGGUUGCGGACAGUGUCUGGUGGGUAGUUUGACUGGGGCGGUCUCCUCCCAAAGCGUAACGGAGGAGCACGAAGGUUAGCUAAUCCCUGGUCGGACAUCAGGAGGUUAGUGCAAUGGCAUAAGCUAGCUUGACUGCGAGCGUGACGGCGCGAGCAGGUGCGAAAGCAGGUCAUAGUGAUCCGGUGGUUCUGAAUGGAAGGGCCAUCGCUCAACGGAUAAAAGGUACUCCGGGGAUAACAGGCUGAUACCGCCCAAGAGUUCAUAUCGACGGCGGUGUUUGGCACCUCGAUGUCGGCUCAUCACAUCCUGGGGCUGAAGUAGGUCCCAAGGGUAUGGCUGUUCGCCAUUUAAAGUGGUACGCGAGCUGGGUUUAGAACGUCGUGAGACAGUUCGGUCCCUAUCUGCCGUGGGCGCUGGAGAAUUGAGGGGGGCUGCUCCUAGUACGAGAGGACCGGAGUGGACGCAUCACUGGUGUUCGGGUUGUCAUGCCAAUGGCACUGCCCGGUAGCUAAAUGCGGAAGAGAUAAGUGCUGAAAGCAUCUAAGCACGAAACUUGCCCCGAGAUGAGUUCUCCCUGAGACUUUAAGUCUCCUGAAGGAACGUUGAAGACGACGACGUUGAUAGGCCGGGUGUGUAAGCGCAGCGAUGCGUUGAGCUAACCGGUACUAAUGAACCGUGAGGCUUAACCUUACAACGCCGAAG
RNAcentral lists this ribosomal RNA (2924 nucleotides) under Klebsiella pneumoniae. Its description in RNAcentral is "23S ribosomal RNA". It matches the Rfam family "Bacterial large subunit ribosomal RNA". The record is from RNAcentral. Lineage: Bacteria; Pseudomonadati; Pseudomonadota; Gammaproteobacteria; Enterobacterales; Enterobacteriaceae.